RNAcentral lists this ribosomal RNA (495 nucleotides) under uncultured bacterium. Its description in RNAcentral is "partial 16S ribosomal RNA". It matches the Rfam family "Bacterial small subunit ribosomal RNA", at positions 28 to 507 of the family's 1533-position model. The record is from RNAcentral.
GACGAACGCUGGCGGCGUGCCUAAUACAUGCAAGUAGAACGCUGAAGGAGGAGCUUGCUUCUCUGGAUGAGUUGCGAACGGGUGAGUAACGCGUAGGUAACCUGCCUGGUAGCGGGGGAUAACUAUUGGAAACGAUAGCUAAUACCGCAUAAGAGUAGAUGUUGCAUGACAUUUACUUAAGAGGUGCAAUUGCAUCACUACCAGAUGGACCUGCGUUGUAUUAGCUAGUUGGUGAGGUAACGGCUCACCAAGGCAACGAUACAUAGCCGACCUGAGAGGGUGAUCGGCCACACUGGGACUGGGACACGGCCCAGACUCCUACGGGAGGCAGCAGGAGGGAAUCUUCGGCAAUGGACGGAAGUCUGACCGAGCAACGCCGCGUGAGUGAAGAAGGUUGUCGGAUCGUAAAGCUCUGUUGUAAGAGAAGAACGAGUGUGAGAGUGGAAAGUUCACACUGUGACGGUAUCUUACCAGAAAGGUACGGCUAACUACGUG